RNAcentral lists this ribosomal RNA (253 nucleotides) under uncultured bacterium. RNAcentral's name for it is "partial 16S ribosomal RNA". It matches the Rfam family "Bacterial small subunit ribosomal RNA", at positions 524 to 776 of the family's 1533-position model. The record is from RNAcentral.
UACGUAGGGACCAAGCGUUGUUCGGAUUUACUGGGCGUAAAGGGCGCGUAGGCGGCCCUACAAGUCACUUGUGAAAUCUCCGGGCUUAACUCGGAACGGCCAAGUGAAACUGUAAGGCUAGAGUGCAGAAGGGGCAAUCGGAAUUCUUGGUGUAGCGGUGAAAUGCGUAGAUAUCAAGAGGAACACCUGAGGUGAAGACGGGUUGCUGGGCUGACACUGACGCUGAGGCGCGAAAGCUAGGGGAGCAAACGGG